This 253-nucleotide ribosomal RNA is filed under the name uncultured bacterium. Its description in RNAcentral is "partial 16S ribosomal RNA". It matches the Rfam family "Bacterial small subunit ribosomal RNA", at positions 524 to 776 of the family's 1533-position model. The record is from RNAcentral.
UACGUAUGGUGCAAGCGUUAUCCGGAUUUACUGGGUGUAAAGGGAGCGCAGGCGGCACGGCAAGCCUGAUGUGAAAGCCCGCGGCCCAACCGCGGGACUGCAUUGGGAACUACCGGGCUGGAGUGCCGGAGAGGUAGGCGGAAUUCCUAGCGUAGCGGUGAAAUGCGUAGAUAUUAGGAGGAACACCAGUGGCGAAGGCGGCCUACUGGACGGUGACUGACGCUGAGGCUCGAAAGCGUGGGGAGCAAACAGG